UACGAAGGGGGCAAGCGUUGUUCGGAAUUACUGGGCGUAAAGGGCGCGUAGGCGGCUCUUUAAGUCGGGGGUGAAAUCCUGGAGCUCAACUCCAGAACUGCCUUUGAUACUGAAGAGCUUGAGUCCGGGAGAGGUGAGUGGAACUGCGAGUGUAGAGGUGAAAUUCGUAGAUAUUCGCAAGAACACCAGUGGCGAAGGCGGCUCACUGGCCCGAUACUGACGCUGAGGUGCGAAAGCGUGGGGAGCAAACAGG
RNAcentral lists this ribosomal RNA (253 nucleotides) under uncultured bacterium. Its description in RNAcentral is "partial 16S ribosomal RNA". It matches the Rfam family "Bacterial small subunit ribosomal RNA", at positions 524 to 776 of the family's 1533-position model. The record is from RNAcentral.